RNAcentral lists this ribosomal RNA (536 nucleotides) under uncultured bacterium. RNAcentral's name for it is "bacterial SSU rRNA". It matches the Rfam family "Bacterial small subunit ribosomal RNA", at positions 969 to 1509 of the family's 1533-position model. The record is from RNAcentral.
CCUUACCUACCCUUGACAUGUCUGGAAUCCCGAAGAGAUUUGGGAGUGCUCGCAAGAGAACCGGAACACAGGUGCUGCAUGGCUGUCGUCAGCUCGUGUCGUGAGAUGUUGGGUUAAGUCCCGCAACGAGCGCAACCCUUGUCAUUAGUUGCUACGAAAGGGCACUCUAAUGAGACUGCCGGUGACAAACCGGAGGAAGGUGGGGAUGACGUCAAGUCCUCAUGGCCCUUAUGGGUAGGGCUUCACACGUCAUACAAUGGUCGGGACAGAGGGUUGCCAAGCCGCGAGGUGGAGCCAAUCCCAGAAACCCGAUCGUAGUCCGGAUUGCAGUCUGCAACUCGACUGCAUGAAGUCGGAAUCGCUAGUAAUCGCGGAUCAGAAUGUCGCGGUGAAUACGUUCCCGGGUCUUGUACACACCGCCCGUCACACCAUGGGAGUGGGUUUUACCAGAAGUAGGUAGCCUAACCGUAAGGAGGGCGCUUACCACGGUAGGAUUCAUGACUGGGGUGAAGUCGUAACAAGGUAAGCGUAGUGCU